RNAcentral lists this ribosomal RNA (397 nucleotides) under uncultured bacterium. RNAcentral describes it as "partial 16S ribosomal RNA". It matches the Rfam family "Bacterial small subunit ribosomal RNA", at positions 364 to 776 of the family's 1533-position model. The record is from RNAcentral.
UUGCGACAAUGGGCGAAAGCCUGACGCAGCAACGCCGCGUGCGGGAGGACUGCCUUCGGGUUGUAAACCGCUUUUCGGGGGGAAGAGGAAGGACGGUACCCCCGGAAGAAGUCUCGGCUAACUACGUGCCAGCAGCCGCGGUAAAACGUAGGAGGCGAGCGUUAUCCGGCUUUACUGGGUGUAAAGCGCGUGUAGGCGGUCCUGCAAGUGGUGCGUGAAAGCGCCCGGCUCAACUGGGAGGGGACGUUCAAAACUGUGCGGCUCGAGGGCGGUAGAGGAAGGUAGAAUUCCCGGUGUAGUGGUGAAAUGCGUAGAUAUCGGGAGGAAUACCCGUGGCGAAGGCGACCUUCUGGACCGUUUCUGACGCUCAGAUGCGAAAGCUAGGGGAGCGAACGGG